This 450-nucleotide ribosomal RNA is filed under the name uncultured bacterium. RNAcentral describes it as "SSU rRNA". It matches the Rfam family "Bacterial small subunit ribosomal RNA", at positions 26 to 518 of the family's 1533-position model. The record is from RNAcentral.
AGAAUGAACGCUGGCGGCAUGCCUAACACAUGCAAGUCGAACGAAGGCUUCGGCCUUAGUGGCGCACGGGUGCGUAACGCGUGGGAAUCUACCCUUAGGUUCGGAAUAACAGUUGGAAACGACUGCUAAUACCGGAUGAUGACGUAAGUCCAAAGAUUUAUCGCCUAGGGAUGAGCCCGCGUAGGAUUAGCUAGUUGGUGUGUAAAGGCGCACCAAGGCGACGAUCCUUAGCUGGUCUGAGAGGAUGAUCAGCCACACUGGGACUGAGACACGGCCCAGACUCCUACGGGAGGCAGCAGUGGGGAAUAUUGGACAAUGGGCGAAAGCCUGACGCAGCGACGCCGCGUGAGGGAUGACGGCCUUCGGGUUGUAAACCUCUUCAGCUCUGACGAAGCGCAAGUGACGGUAGGAGCAGAAGAAGCGACCGGCCAACUACGCGCCAGCAGCCGC